Molecule: small nucleolar RNA, 219 nt
Organism: Rhinopithecus roxellana (golden snub-nosed monkey)
Lineage: Eukaryota; Metazoa; Chordata; Mammalia; Primates; Cercopithecidae
Product: small nucleolar RNA U3
Exons: 1
Source: RefSeq, a predicted model, not a curated record
AAGACUAUGCUUUCAAGGGAUCGUUUCUAUAGUUCGUUACUAGAGAAGUUUGUCUGAAUGUGUAGAGCAUCGAUUAAACCACGAGAAAGAGACGUAGUGUUGUUUUCUGAGCGUAAAGCCGGCGUUUGGUGUUGCUUCAGUGCAACCGCCAUCUGCCAUUGAAGGUCGCUUUCCUCUCCGUUUUGGAGAGUAAGAGGGGAAGAACAGGGUCUGAGUGGU